GGUUAUCUCACAGGGGUCCCUGCUGAAGCCACUUAGCAGCACUCAUGUUAAGGGGUGGUGACCUCCAACCCCAGAACUGGGGCACUCUGGCAAAGGCAGCCUGUAACCACCCUGAGUGUAAUUUGUCAGAGACAUGAAGGUUAACAUUUUUCUUCACAAAAACUAUCUUUAAUGGCCAUCAGCAGUCAGGACCUCCGAUUUCUGUCUCAUUUGAAAGCUUUUAAUGCUUUCAGAGGGAUAGAUGGGGUGACCUAAUAGGUCUUUUCCAUCUCUGAUUUUCUAUGAUUAAUGAAGUUCAAUUGUGCAGAAUAAAAUGGUGAGUUUCUCGGUGUCAUUUCAGCUGUAUUCCUCUUCCCUCCCUCUUUCUUUCCUCAUUUUUUUUUUUAGACAGAUGAUAAUCAUGCACAUUUUCUCUUAAUGCUUCAGGGAAAAAAAGGACUUUUUCUUCUGAGCCAGGCUUUGAAAAUGUCAAGGGCACAGACUUCAAGAUGUCAUCUUGGAAGCAGAGACUGGACCUUCACCAGACUCAAAACCUACCAGUACCUUGAUCCUAAACGUCUUUCCCGGCUCCAGAACUGUGAGAAAGUAAGUUUCUGUUUUUCAUAAAUUAUCCAGUCUCAGGUAUUCUGUUAUAGCAGCACAAAACAGACUAAGAUGGGUGUUUGAAUCAACUUGAGCUUCCUGAGACUCAAGUUAGAGUGGCAGAGCUAGAAUCCUUGGAGGUGAAACUCCAGGAUCUGCAUUUAAUCUGCCCACCUCUCCCAGGAACAUUGCUGCACAUCCAAGUUUGGGAAUAAUUGCCAGGACUUUUAAAGUUUUUUUUUUUUAUUAAAGUUUUUUAUUAAAGUUCCAAAAUAUAUGUGCAGAACGUGUAGUUUUGUUACAUAGGUAUACAUGUACCAUGGUGGUUUGCUGCCCCUAUCAACCCAUCCUUUAGUUUUAAAACCACCCA
Molecule: long non-coding RNA, 952 nt
Filed under: Callithrix jacchus (white-tufted-ear marmoset)
Lineage: Eukaryota; Metazoa; Chordata; Mammalia; Primates; Cebidae
Description: lncRNA (ENSCJAG00000071900.1)
Source: RNAcentral